This 468-nucleotide ribosomal RNA is filed under the name uncultured bacterium. RNAcentral's name for it is "partial 16S ribosomal RNA". It matches the Rfam family "Bacterial small subunit ribosomal RNA", at positions 28 to 507 of the family's 1533-position model. The record is from RNAcentral.
GACGAACGCUGGCGGCGUGCUUAACACAUGCAAGUCGAACGGAAAGGCCCUGCUUUUGUGUGGUGCUCGAGUGGCGAACGGGUGAGUAACACGUGAGUAACCUGCCCUUGACUUUGGGAUAACUUCAGGAAACUGGGGCUAAUACCGGAUAGGAGCUCCUGCUGCAUGGUGGGGGUUGGAAAGUUUCGGCGGUUGGGGAUGGACUCGCGGCGUAUCAGCUUGUUGGUGGGGUAGUGGCUUACCAAGGCUUUGACGGGUAGCCGGCCUGAGAGGGUGACCGGCCACAUUGGGACUGAGAUACGGCCCAGACUCCUACGGGAGGCAGCAGUGGGGAAUAUUGCACAAUGGGCGGAAGCCUGAUGCAGCAACGCCGCGUGCGGGAUGACGGCCUUCGGGUUGUAAACCGCUUUCGCCUGUGACGAAGCGUGAGUGACGGUAAUGGGUAAAGAAGCACCGGCUAACUACGUG